Molecule: ribosomal RNA, 272 nt
Filed under: uncultured bacterium
Lineage: Bacteria
Description: partial 16S ribosomal RNA
Rfam family: Bacterial small subunit ribosomal RNA
Source: RNAcentral
GGAAUAUUGGUCAAUGGGCGCAAGCCUGAACCAGCCAUGCCGCGUGAAGGAAGAAGGUUUUAUGGAUUGUAAACUUCUUUUAUUUAGGAAUAAACCUCUCGACGUGUCGGGAGCUGAAGGUACUAAAUGAAUAAGCACCGGCUAACUCCGUGCCAGUAGCCGCGGUAAUACGGAGGGUGCAAGCGUUAUCCGGAAUCAUUGGGUUUAAAGGGUCCGCAGGCGGAUUUAUAAGUCAGUGGUGAAAUCCUGCAGCUCAACUGCAGAACUGCCAA